UACAGCUGCAAGCUGCAUUUCAGAAACAUUUUCCACCAGCUGUAAUUUCAUCAGCAUCAUUUUUGACUUUGCUUCGGUCACCCCAUACUCCAGCCUACAUGUGCUUUCGACUGGCUUGACUGCGCUUCCUCCCCUGUAUGCUCUGCCCUUUCCUGCCCUCACACCCCCCUCCUGAUGUACCCACCAAAUCUGCUUGGCUCAGCAGCAGUGAAAAUACAGAGCUACGCCAUCUUGCCAGUGCUUAGCCAUAGGCUUGCAAAGAAGUAAGCGUGCAUCAGGCCUGGAUUAGUGGUUUCCAAAGCAAGCUUUUCAGUCACAAUAUAGCUAAAAGCUCUUAGUCAAGCUCUAAAUGUUAUUAACGCAAUAAGCAAUGUUAGAACAGGAAUCUUUUUCCACUGGAAAAUAUCAACUUGAAAAAAAUAAUUGCCUGAGGGAUGUGUUUGGUACAUUUCAAAAUUUCAAGGGAAACAUUUUUGAAAUGACUUUUAGAAGCUUUAUGUCAAAGUAAAAUUUAUGCUAUUUAGAGUAAAGGUCUAUUUUUUUUCAUGCAGGUUUUUUAAAUGAUUAAGAGAAAGUGUGUUCAGUAAAACUUAUUUUGGAUUUUCAAAUUCUCCAGUUUAAUUUGAGAAUUAAAUUCCUAUUAAUUUGAGGCUGAGGAAAAAAAAAUCAGCAUGAAUUUUAUCUUGCAAGCUUAGAAUAUACAACAGAUGAUUCAUACUUUGCAGAACCUUUUUCUUCCCCUUACUCCCCAGGAACUUUUGAACUAGUUGUCUGAUCUCAGCUAAGUGCUACUGAUAGAAGAAAGUUUUGCUUUCUUCUGAUAGGAAGACUGCAAUGUGAAGCACCUGUUACUAAAAGUCAGGCAAACCUCUUGGAACUGAGCAUAGCCCAGAGGAAACCAGACUUUGCUAGUGCUUUUCAUGAAACCAUGCAAACUUGGUGUUCUGGGUCUGCAAUAAAGACUUCAUGCCCAGCUCUAAUAUCAUAAAUGAGAUGGAAUCUACAAGUUAUAGGUAAGAAGGAGACUGCUGAAGGAAGAAAUGAAGGAACCAGAAAGUGUAUCUCUGGUUGACACUCCGAGUAAAAGCAGAGUAACUUUGAAGGCGUGAAUCUGUAAAGAAGUUACACCCUCACUAAACACAAGUAGGUGUGACUAAGGAGCUUGUGCUGUUUUCUGUCUCUACUCUGCUUCAUGCUCUUGGACAGGCUGUUACAUUUCUUUCCUUUUGGAUAUCUUUGUUAGGUGGUGUGGACUUCUCACUUGCAUGUUUAUUCAGCAUCUAUCACAGUGGGAGGCCCUGGAUGUGACUGUAAUACAAACAACACUGACAAAUCUGUGUUUCCAUGGACAGUGCAAAUACAUACUGCUGUCUAGAUCUUCUGCGCUCAGUGCAGAAGCACUAGGAUAACUCAUGUCACACCUCUAAAUUUGGUUCCCUGGUAUUCCUGGGACUAAUGCCAGACGACAGCGUAUGCCUUCAUUUAAGGCACAGAGAUGGCUUCUAGAAUGGCUUUUCCUCUUUGCUGGACCAUGGAACUAUGCUCAGGACUUCACUUAUUACCGGUCUCUUCCUUUGGAUUAAAUUGUUCUCUGUGAAAAAUACUCUGCAGCCUUUUCUUCAUCAAAGCCCAGUUUUUUUGAUUGCCAAAUAGAAAGCAAGAAUUCCCAAGAGGCUCCUUAGACUGGAAUACCAACAUGAUGGGUAGAAGAGCUUUGCAAGACCAGUGAGAAAACUGUUAAGCCUCACCUUUGCUUGGCAUGGUUAAGAGAAAUUUAUUUCUCUGCUGUGAUGUUUGUUUGGGCCACAUAGUGCUUUUUAAGCACCGCCAUCAAAUCUUCUUAGUUUGAAGCACCUGAGUCUUGAGGGAAACAUCAGUCUUCCAGGACUACUACUGCCUCUCUUCUGAACAGAGUUUGGAAAAUGGAUUUUUUUUUUCAUGAAAAUCUUCAGUAGUGUCAAAAUGAAAAUACUGCAACAGCCUUUAAGCAUAAACUUUGGCCUCAUCUUCUUUUCAGUAAAUUGAAACUAUCUUCCCAUGCAAUAUUGCCUGUAUAUUAUUUCUUGAUCUUGAUGCUGCUGUCUUAGGUUGGACAUCUGUUUAGUCCCAAACAAGUGUUCCAGUCACCUGAUUCCAUGCUCUCUCCACAUCAAGAUUUCUCUUAAUUCCAGAUCAAUAUAAUAUAUACUAUAUUUUUAUUGGACUGGACUACCAUCUCUGCGAUCACUGAGCACAUCCUCUUUCCAAAGGUAUGCUUUGCUCAAAUUCCCAAAUACAUUCCUGCAGACUUCUCAUAUGCUGACCUUCCACAUGUAGUUGUAGACCUUCAGAUAUGAAAUGGCAGUUCCUAAAGUUCCACGCAUCCAUAAAAGCAGCAUUUCUCCUUCUGGGCUUGAGAAGAACUUGUACCACCCCAUGCUUCCUAUACAUUUCAGCUCAAGCUCAUCUCUGAUUAAGAGCAAAAAGGUGCUUUCCAGUGUGCAUGGGAAGAUCCCUCUCUCAAGCUAUGCUUUCACUUAGGAUGUGUCUGAAGAUGUCUCUACAAUGAAUGUCUCCCUGCAGUGUUCCCGAGAAGGGAAUUGUGUGCUGCUUUGACACUCAGUUUCUAGCUUAGAGUUGCAGGAGAAAGGCUGAAAGAUCCAUCUCCCUCUUGAAGCUGGAUGGAUGAACUGAAGCAGCAGACAGAGCCUGGAGGGAGAAAGGAAAGAACUGCAUUCAUAAGUUUAUCAUAGAUCUAUACAGCAGCAAGACAGACAUCUCUGUCCGGUCUUCCUGAUAUACAUCAAAUUCAAGACCUCUUGCAAAAGCUCCGCUGUGGACACAGAAUGCAUUCCAGGAGAGGAAAAGCAUUUUACACCUUUACUGCUGGUCAUUGCUUGGGUUAGGCUAUCACAGAGCACAUCUGUGAUGCACAGGAUCACCCAACAUGACAGAGUACUGUGGGGAAAUGAAGAAAUGCGUGUUUGAGAUGUGAUUCAGAAGAGACUAUCAAAAGGAAAGUUAAUUGAAUCCAGGAAUACUUCAAUCAAGCUGGGUGUAGGCCAAAAAGCUUGCUUGUAGACCUUAGAGAUGUUCAGAUAUUGAUACAAACCUUGCAGCUUAGUUUGAGCCUUGGAACAUUAUUUCCAACUCUUGAAGACUGGUCUGAACCUUAAUGGAGUGAGAAGUAGAAGUAAAAUUAUCUCCCUGCUUCAUAUUUGACUCCUAUGCAUUUCUCUAAUGUAUGCUGUCUAUCUGCCAUGAGAGACAAAAGCCUUCACAGAAUCAGAGUCACAGAAUCACAGAGGUUGGAAGAGACUUCCAGAGAUCAUCAAGUCCAACCCCCUGCUAAAGCAGGUUCCCUACAAUAGGUUGCACAGGUAGGUGUCCAG
Long non-coding RNA from Numida meleagris (helmeted guineafowl), 3371 nucleotides. RefSeq lists it as uncharacterized. NCBI's taxonomy places the organism in Eukaryota, Metazoa, Chordata, Aves, Galliformes, Numididae. The record is from RefSeq and is a predicted model, not a curated record. The transcript has 4 exons.